This is a long non-coding RNA of Cyprinodon tularosa, 723 nucleotides long. RefSeq lists it as uncharacterized. NCBI's taxonomy places the organism in Eukaryota, Metazoa, Chordata, Actinopteri, Cyprinodontiformes, Cyprinodontidae. The transcript has 4 exons. The record is from RefSeq and is a predicted model, not a curated record.
CACAAGCUGAGGCAGAGCAAACGUUCCUUUCUGUCAAAGUUGGAAAUGAAGUGACUUUGCCUUGUGGAAGCAGGAGAGAAACUCAAGAUAAUUUGGAUGAAGCUAGUUGGGUCUUCAACAAUAGAGAUAAAAUAACAACAACAACACUAGUCAAGCUUGUAAAUUCUAAAAAGCAACAGAAAACUGCAUCUGGCAGACAGAGUGUUACAGAAGACUUUUCCCUGGUUCUACAUAAUGUCACAGAGAAUGACGUGGGUCAGUACAACUGCCUCUGGACCAUAUCAAGACAAAUGCAUCGUUCCACGCUAUUUCUGUCUAUAAUUAAUUUGGUUGAGCAGAAGAGCAAUGAUACAGUCACCUUGUUCUGCUCUGUGUUAGAAUAUGAUCUCUGUCUUCAUGAGGUUGAAUGGCUUUAUGAGGGGAAAGAGGAAAAACCCUCAGAUAUGAAUAUGUUCCAACAUGCAUGCUCCGCCACUGUGACAUUUCCAACAUCUUACAUUCAUGAGAAAUUAGACAUUUAUCAGUUACUGCAGUGUAAAGCCACAAACAGUAUCACUGCGAAAGUUCAGCAGUUUCCUUUUAGCGCUCAGUCCUUAGGUGAUAAUCUAACAAAAACAAAUAAAGCGGCAAAUGAACCGACCCUGUCAUCAGAUCCUCAAUUAACAUCACAGACAACUUUACCUUGGUGGUAUAUUAUCUGUCCUUUACUCCUAGUUGCACUGU